This 460-nucleotide ribosomal RNA is filed under the name uncultured bacterium. RNAcentral describes it as "partial 16S ribosomal RNA". It matches the Rfam family "Bacterial small subunit ribosomal RNA", at positions 338 to 795 of the family's 1533-position model. The record is from RNAcentral.
CCUACGGGAGGCAGCAGUGAGGAAUAUUGGUCAAUGGACGCAAGUCUGAACCAGCCACGCCGCGUGCAUGAAGACGGCUCUCUGAGUUGUAAACUGCUUUUGUACGAGGGUAAACGCAGAUACGCGUAUCUGUCUGCAAGUACCGUACGAAUAAGGAUCGGCUAACUCCGUGCCAUCAGCCGCGGUAAUACGGAGGAUUCAAGCGUUGUCCGGAUUUAUUGGGUUGAAAGGGUGCGUAGGCGGUCGGAUAAGUUAGAGGUGAAAUCCCGAGGCUCAACUUCGGAAGUGCAUCUGAUACUGUUCGGCUAGAGAGUAGUAGCGGUAGGCGGAAUGUAUGGUGUAGCGGUGAAAUGCGUAGAGAUCAGACAGAACACCGAUGGCGAAGGCAGCUUACCAAGCUACAUCUGACGUUGAGGCACGAAAGCGUGGGGAGCAAACAGGAUUAGAUACCCCUGUAGUC